AUUGAACGCUGGCGGCAUGCCUUACACAUGCAAGUCGAACGGUAACGCGGGGCAACCUGGCGACGAGUGGCGAACGGGUGAGUAAUGUAUCGGAACGUGCCCAGGUGUGGGGGAUAACUGCUCGAAAGAGCAGCUAAUACCGCAUACGACCUGAGGGUGAAAGCGGGGGAUCGCAAGACAUCGCGCAAUUGGAGCGGCCGAUAUCAGAUUAGGUAGUUGGUGGGGUAAAGGCUCACCAAGCCAACGAUCUGUAGCUGGUCUGAGAGGACGACCAGCCACACUGGGGCUGAGACACGGCCCAGACUCCUACGGGAGGCAGCAGUGGGGAAUUUUGGACAAUGGACGCAAGUCUGAUCCAGCCAUGCCGCGUGCGGGAAGAAGGCCUUCGGGUUGUAAACCGCUUUUGUCAGGGAAGAAACGCUCUGGGUUAAUACCUCGGGGUAAUGACGGUACCUGAAGAAUAAGCACCGGCUAACUACGUGCCAGCAGCCGCCGCGG
This 498-nucleotide ribosomal RNA is filed under the name uncultured bacterium. RNAcentral describes it as "partial 16S ribosomal RNA". It matches the Rfam family "Bacterial small subunit ribosomal RNA", at positions 29 to 523 of the family's 1533-position model. The record is from RNAcentral.